UGGGGAAUAUUGGGCAAUGGGCGCAAGCCUGACCCAGCCAUGCCGCGUGAGUGAUGAAGGCCUUCGGGUCGUAAAGCUCUGUGGGGAGGGAAGAAACCCCCCGUAGCUAAUAUCUACGGGGCUUGACGGUACCUCCUUAGCAAGCACCGGCUAACUCCGUGCCAGCAGCCGCGGUAAUACGGAGGGUGCAAACGUUGCUCGGAAUCAUUGGGCGUAAAGCGCACGUAGGCGGCUUGUUAAGUCGGAUGUGAAAGCCCUCGGCUCAACCGAGGAAGUGCAUUCGAAACUGGCAAGCUUGAAUAUGGAAGAGGGUCGCGGAAUUCCCGGUGUAGAGGUGAAAUUCGUAGAUAUCGGGAGGAACACCAGUGGCGAAGGCGGCGACCUGGGCCAAUAUUGACGCUGAGGUGCGAAAGCGUGGGGAGCAAACAG
Molecule: ribosomal RNA, 429 nt
Filed under: uncultured bacterium
Lineage: Bacteria
Description: bacterial SSU rRNA
Rfam family: Bacterial small subunit ribosomal RNA
Source: RNAcentral